RNAcentral lists this long non-coding RNA (1323 nucleotides) under Cyanistes caeruleus (blue tit). RNAcentral's name for it is "lncRNA (ENSCCEG00000013004.1)". The record is from RNAcentral. Lineage: Eukaryota; Metazoa; Chordata; Aves; Passeriformes; Paridae.
AAAAACACAUAAACUUAUGUUAAUUACUUGACACUCCUGUCACAAGAUGAAGAGAAAGCCUUUGCUUGCCAUUUUCACUGUGUACAGUGUGAUACAGCAGCCAUUUCCAUACUCUUUGACUCCUUACACCACUUGAUUCCACAUGACAAAAGCUGAAGGUUUUUAGACAUCAGAAUUAGUGGUGCUCCAAACAACUAAAAAAAAGGCAGUAAAAGUGGUGAAAAGUCAACUGGUUAUUUGUUUACAGCAUUGUGGUAACUAACACUAACCAUGUAACUCUUGGAAAAAAAUGCAUUGCCUGUUACCGGAUUAAAAAAAAAUAGAAUGAAUAAUUCAACAAACAUAAUUUUUCUGAUGCAUGUGAGCUACUUCACCACACUGCAGAUCCACAAACUGAUCAGCAUCACCUGAAAUGCAUUUCCUAGAUUGGUUCAAAAUGUAUUUUAUGAUUAUGAUGUGAACAGUUUGCUGCCAGUAUGUGACAUGCAAAAUUCAAAAGAGCUUGAUUAGCUGCCAGUUAAUCAAAUACGUGACCUGGGGCUUGUUGCUGCCCACUGAUUAGCUGAGUUUGCAAGAAGACUGCAGCACAUCACAAGAUUCAAUGCACAGAUAUUGCCAGACAGAAAUCUCCAAGUGCUGAGGCAUGUGCCCUUUAAAGAGUGGAACCAAUAUAACUAGAUGCAAGUAUCCACAGCACAAGGAUUUUGCUGUGGCAGCCAGAGCAAAGAGUAUGUAAGAUACUCAUGGAAGUGUCAUGGAAAACCUCCACAAAGAGUAUAAAAAUGAAUUUUCUGUAUGCAUUAGUUUUGCAUAUUAUUUUCCCAACUCUGCUUGAAACUCUGCUUUUUUCCUCAUAAAAGUAGAUGUUCCCCUGUGUUUUUCAGAUGUGGGUUCUCAGCACAGCUGUCUUUUUUUUUGGUUUUGUUUUUGUUCCUCACUAGGCAGUUUUACUGGCCAGUUUGACACAAAUCCAGAACCGUAUUUUACAGGGGGCUUCCUAUCUAAAUCUGUGCUCACCUCCCAUCUCCUGGAUAAACCAGAGGAGGCCUCACCCCAGAGGAUGGGAGCACAGCCACAGCAGCAUCACACUGAUACCACUCAGGGUGGGGGGCGCAGCACUACUGGAUGUGCCUCCCAAGAACCACAGUGAGAGACACCAGGAGGAGAUGAGGGCUCUGUGUUUCUGCUGCUCUGCUGAUUGCCACUGUGGGUUCCCCAAGGGGACUGACAAGAGAGGGAGCCAGCCCUGAACUGAGGUGAGUGCAAAUGGAGUCUGCUGAGUCCCAGCAGGUAAAUAAACACUCCCCUGGCCAGAGGAAGGCA